GACGAACGCUGGCGGCGUGCUUAACACAUGCAAGUCGAGCGGAAAGGCCCUUCGGGGUACUCGAGCGGCGAACGGGUGAGUAACACGUGGGUAACCUGCCCUUCACUCUGGGACAACUCCGGGAAACCGGGGCUAAUACCGGAUACGACCCUUUGAGGCAUCUCUCGGGGUGGAAAGUUUUUCGGUGAAGGAUGACCCGCGGCCUAUCAGCUUGUUGGUGGGGUAAUGGCCUACCAAGGCAGUGACGGGUAGCC
RNAcentral lists this ribosomal RNA (254 nucleotides) under uncultured bacterium. RNAcentral's name for it is "partial 16S ribosomal RNA". It matches the Rfam family "Bacterial small subunit ribosomal RNA", at positions 28 to 288 of the family's 1533-position model. The record is from RNAcentral.